RNAcentral lists this ribosomal RNA (492 nucleotides) under uncultured bacterium. Its description in RNAcentral is "partial 16S ribosomal RNA". It matches the Rfam family "Bacterial small subunit ribosomal RNA", at positions 29 to 507 of the family's 1533-position model. The record is from RNAcentral.
AGUGAACGCUGGCGGUAGGCCUAACACAUGCAAGUCGAACGGCAGCACAGUAAGAGCUUGCUCUUACGGGUGGCGAGUGGCGGACGGGUGAGGAAUACAUCGGAAUCUACUUUUUCGUGGGGGAUAACGUAGGGAAACUUACGCUAAUACCGCAUACGACCUACGGGUGAAAGCAGGGGAUCUUCGGACCUUGCGCGAUUGAAUGAGCCGAUGUCGGAUUAGCUAGUUGGCGGGGUAAAGGCCCACCAAGGCGACGAUCCGUAGCUGGUCUGAGAGGAUGAUCGGCCACACUGGAACGGGAACAGGGUCCAGACUCCUACGGGAGGAAGCAGUGGGGAAUAUUGGACAAUGGGCGCAAGCCUGAUCCAGCCAUACCGCGUAGGUGAAGAAGGCCUUCGGGUUGUAAAGCCCUUUUGUUGGGAAAGAAAAGCAGCAGGUUAAUACCCCGCUGUUCUGACGGUACCCAAAGAAUAAGCACCGGCUAACUUCGUG